RNAcentral lists this unclassified non-coding RNA (936 nucleotides) under Hevea brasiliensis (rubber tree). Lineage: Eukaryota; Viridiplantae; Streptophyta; Magnoliopsida; Malpighiales; Euphorbiaceae. The record is from RNAcentral.
GGACUUGGCAGACAAACUGCAAUACAGUGAAUCUUCACUGGAGAUAAAAGAAGCAUUGGCUGAAGCUGGUGCCAAAUAUGCAAGGCAUGUUGGACAAGUUGAUGAAGCAAUGGAGCUCAAACGGACAGUCAGUGAUAUUAAGCACGAGGUUCACUCGCAACUUAUCCAAAACGAAAAAACGCGUAGGAGAGUUUCUGGCAUUGUCAAAGAAUUGAAGAAGCUCCACAGAGAGGCUGUUCAGAAUACCACAAAUUCCAUCACGGUUGUGGCUGUUCUUUUCGCAUCCAUUGCAUUCCUGGCCAUCUUCAAUUUACCGGGUCAGUACAUACAAAAAGGAACAGACGUCGGAAAGGCAAAUAUAGCUGAUAACAUGGGUUUCCAAGUAUUCUGCCUUUUAAACACCACAUCUCUGUUUAUAUCUUUAGCUGUUGUGGUGGUUCAAAUUACUUUGGUAGCAUGGGACACGACAGCCCAAAAGCAGGUUGUAUCGGUUGUAAACAAGCUAAUGUGGGCUGCCUGUGCUUGCACCUCCGGGGCUUUCAUAUCAAUAGCUUAUGUUGUCGUAGGGCAUGAAACAUGGAUGGCUCUUGCCAUUACCCUCGUCGGAGUUCCAAUUCUAGUUGCAACUCUUGCAAGCAUGUGCUACUUGGUUUUUCGACAACAUUUCGGUAUCUUUAGCAGUGACUCUCAAAGACGAAUCAGACGGGCAAGUGGAAGCAAGUCUUUCUCGUGGCCUCACUCGGUUAAUAUAUCUGAUGACGAAGACUACAACUCCGACCUUGAGAAGAUUUACGCCCUAUAGAUACCCUUUCAGCAGUUUCAAGCCUGAAAGGAUGGUUUUCCUGCACAUAGUUAUAUAGAUAUGUCGUAAUGAAGAUCUGGAGGGUUACCUCGUCAUGUUCAGUAGGACUCGAUGCGAGUACUAGUACAAUAACG